This 253-nucleotide ribosomal RNA is filed under the name uncultured bacterium. RNAcentral describes it as "partial 16S ribosomal RNA". It matches the Rfam family "Bacterial small subunit ribosomal RNA", at positions 524 to 776 of the family's 1533-position model. The record is from RNAcentral.
UACGGGGGGGGCAAGCGUUGUUCGGAAUUACUGGGCGUAAAGGGCUCGUAGGUGGCCAACUAAGUCAGACGUGAAAUCCCUCGGCUUAACCGGGGAACUGCGUCUGAUACUGGAUGGCUGGAGUUUGGGAGAGGGAUGCGGAAUUCCAGGUGUAGCGGUGAAAUUCGUAGAUAUCAGGAGGAACACCAGUGGCGAAGGCGGCUUCCUGGACACCAACUGACGCUGAGACGCGAAAGCGUGGGGAGCAAACAGG